This is a long non-coding RNA of Prunus persica (peach), 326 nucleotides long. RefSeq lists it as uncharacterized. NCBI's taxonomy places the organism in Eukaryota, Viridiplantae, Streptophyta, Magnoliopsida, Rosales, Rosaceae. The transcript has 3 exons. The record is from RefSeq and is a predicted model, not a curated record.
UUGCUGCGUUUGCUGGUGCUUUUCAAAGAGCCUCCACAAUGUGGUUAGCCAGCCACAUCCAGAUCAGUAGAAAAUACAAGCACAUCAGCAUAUUUGGAUAAUUUUAAUAGGUUAAGUCGGUAUCAACCGAACCAGCAUCUAUUCCACCAAAUCCAUGAGAUAUCCCUCAAGCAUCUAUCUGCAAGGCCUUCUCCCACCAUAUCACUGCCCUAACUGCUCAGCUGUGAUGUAUAUCAAGAGUAGAGAUGAUACAAAAUGAAUUCACCAGCUUAAUCUAAAACAAACAUCUGUAUUCUGUAUGCUCAGAAGUUGACAGGAGAAUACGA